CCCUGUCCUCAAGGUACUUCCAGUGGGUCAAUACUAGAGGCAGUGGUGUGCUGUCAGUGCUUAACAGCAGACUCCCUUGGAGGAAAAAAAGCCUUUGUUAUUGUGUUCCAUGGUGGUGUCAAUAUUCCUACUAUGGCCAAUUUCAAGUGACCAUGAUGACAUCACCAAAAGGCAAGUUGGGAAGAGAUACACCAGCAAGCAAGCUUGCUCUAGCACACUGCUGGCUGGAGGCAACGGGGAAGAAAAGGAAGUAGUUACCUGCAUGUCUGCAGGGCCUAUGGCCAUAAUAGAGAAAGUACUGGGAGUCAAAGAAAAACAGGGCAAACAACAAUAUCUGUUUUCCGCAGAGAAAAACUAGAGAGAAUGUUUCAGAGGGGACUGUGGGGCCUGGAGCCGGGAGGGCAGGCCAGAGGCAGGGGAGCUGAGUUGCUGUAUUCUGGGCACAAUUUCAAGGCCAGCUGCAGGGAGAACAAGCAGUCGCUGUGCGCCUGCAGCUGGCUGUGGUUAGGCCAGGGCUGUCCCUCACUUGUGGUAUAUUUAAAGAGACCUCACCAGAGGGCUGGAAUGAAGUGUGGCUCUCUACCAGAGAGCCUGAGUGCAAUGUUCCUUCUUCUCUUUUGAAGCUAUCUCCCCUCCUACUUUACUCUUAGCCCUUGUUGGAGGACCGUUGCUGCAGAAUGUGGCACUGAGCUUUUGUCUGUUUCAUCUUCUAUUGUACAAGAAUAUGGCAUCUGAGAGCUGAGAGGCUAGGGUUCAUGACUGGCUUUGCCACUCACUGGCUGGGCAUGGCUGAAAAAAGUCUUACUCAAUAUGGCACCCAUGGUGGGAGGCAGUGGGAGAAUGAAUAAAAAUAGUGCACUAUUCCAUAGUAAAAGGGUACAUGUAAAAUUACUACUCUAUACCAGGGCUCCAUGGUGGUUCUCUUCUAAGCCAUGGCAGCCUUCUCACGGUACAGCUUAGGAAACCGAGAUCAGUUCUUGGUGAUGCAGCUGGGAGGUAUGGAGCUGGAAUACAAACCCCGUCUUCCAGCCCAUACUCCUUUUUCCCUCAUCCAAAAAGAAAAAAGAAAGAAAGAAAAAACCCUCACAGUUUGGCUGCUUCUUAGCAAUCCUUUCUCCCUUUGAAGAGUUAUUCGUGGAAAGAAAAUCCCCUUCAGGCUGAUUUGGCGGAGGGUGGAGGGCAUGGAAUAAGCUUGCUCUUGGCAGUUAACGGAGAGCAAAGUCAAAUACUGGGACAAAAAGAAAUCCCUGCCUGGAGGGACGGGGAAAAGGCGGACAGGAAUGCUCACUCCUGAGGUUCUGUAGUGAUUCCUUAGCUGUGCUUUCCAGCAUUUACACAUCCAUCAGCCCUGGGAACUGGUAUCUGAA
Molecule: long non-coding RNA, 1367 nt
Filed under: Homo sapiens (human)
Lineage: Eukaryota; Metazoa; Chordata; Mammalia; Primates; Hominidae
Description: non-protein coding lnc-DNAJB11-4:1
Source: RNAcentral